GAUGAAGAACGCAGCGAAAUGCGAUAAGUAAUGUGAAUUGCAGAAUUCAGUGAAUCAUCGAAUCUUUGAACGCACAUUGCGCCCGCCAGUAUUCUGGCGGGCAUGCCUGUUCGAGCGUCAUUUCAACCAUCAAGCCCCCGGCUUGUGUUGGGGACCUGCGGCUGCCGCAGGCCCUGAAAAGCAGUGGCGGGCUCGCUGUCACACCGAGCGUAGUAGCAUACAUCUCGCUCUGGGCGUGCUGCGGGUUCCGGCCGUUAAACCACCUUCAUAACCCAAGGUUGACCUCGGAUCAGGUAGGGUUACCCGCUGAACUUAAGCAUAUCAAUAAGCGGAGGA
Molecule: unclassified non-coding RNA, 336 nt
Filed under: soil metagenome
Description: partial contains 5.8S ribosomal RNA, internal transcribed spacer 2, and large subunit ribosomal RNA
Rfam family: 5.8S ribosomal RNA (bases 1-120)
Source: RNAcentral